This 393-nucleotide ribosomal RNA is filed under the name Triticum aestivum (bread wheat). Its description in RNAcentral is "partial small subunit ribosomal RNA". Lineage: Eukaryota; Viridiplantae; Streptophyta; Magnoliopsida; Poales; Poaceae. The record is from RNAcentral.
AUGUCCACCAAUCAUUCUGAGAUAAUUGCUUUGUUCGAAGCAACACGAGAAUGUGUAUGGCUUCGCAGAAUGAUGAACUUUGUCCAAAGUUCAAGUGGGAUUGGUUCGUUAAAAUCACCCACCAUUAUCUAUGAAGAUAAUGCUGCUUGUAUUGCACAAAUGCAAACGGGUUAUAUUAAGAGCAAUAUUACGAAGCAUAUUUCUCCUAAGUUGUUUUAUCCCCAUGAUCAGCAAGAAAAGGGGGAGAUAAGUAUUUUGCAAACAAAGUCAUGCAACAAUCUCGUUGAUCUGUUUACUAAGUCCUUACCAAGUUCUCUGUUUCAUAAAUAUGUAACUGGAAUUGGUAUGCAACAACUUCGAGACUUGCAAAAUUCAGGGGGAGAAAUCUCCUAA